UACAUGGGGUGCAAACGUUGCUCGGAAUUAUUGGGCGUAAAGCGCACGUAGGCGGUUCGUUAAGUCGGAUGUGAAAGCCCUCGGCUCAACUGAGGAAGUGCACCCGAAACUGGCGAGCUUGAGUACGAAAGAGGAUCGCGGAAUUCCCGGUGUAGAGGUGAAAUUCGUAGAUAUCGGGAGGAACACCGGGUGGCGAAGGCGGCGAUCUGGGUCGAUACUGACGCGUGAGGUGCGAAAGCGUGGGGAGCAAACAGG
This 255-nucleotide ribosomal RNA is filed under the name uncultured bacterium. RNAcentral's name for it is "partial 16S ribosomal RNA". It matches the Rfam family "Bacterial small subunit ribosomal RNA", at positions 524 to 776 of the family's 1533-position model. The record is from RNAcentral.